UCGUAACAAGGUCUCCGUUGGUGAACCAGCGGAGGGAUCAUUACCGAGUUUACAACUCCCAAACCCCUGUGAACAUACCUUAAUGUUGCCUCGGCGGAUCAGCCCGCGCCCCGUAAAACGGGACGGCCCGCCAGAGGACCCAAACUCUAAUGUUUCUUAUUGUAACUUCUGAGUAAAACAAACAAAUAAAUCAAAACUUUCAACAACGGAUCUCUUGGUUCUGGCAUCGAUGAAGAACGCAGCAAAAUGCGAUAAGUAAUGUGAAUUGCAGAAUUCAGUGAAUCAUCGAAUCUUUGAACGCACAUUGCGCCCGCUGGUAUUCCGGCGGGCAUGCCUGUUCGAGCGUCAUUUCAACCCUCAAGCCCCCGGGUUUGGUGUUGGGGAUCGGCUCUGCCUUCUGGCGGUGCCGCCCCCGAAAUACAUUGGCGGUCUCGCUGCAGCCUCCAUUGCGUAGUAGCUAACACCUCGCAACUGGAACGCGGCGCGGCCAUGCCGUAAAACCCCAACUUCUGAAUGUUGACCUCGGAUCAGG
RNAcentral lists this ribosomal RNA (532 nucleotides) under Fusarium sp. FL-2010j. RNAcentral describes it as "eukaryotic LSU rRNA". The stretch from base 195 to 348 matches the Rfam family "5.8S ribosomal RNA". The record is from RNAcentral. Lineage: Eukaryota; Fungi; Ascomycota; Sordariomycetes; Hypocreales; Nectriaceae.